Molecule: ribosomal RNA, 406 nt
Filed under: uncultured bacterium
Lineage: Bacteria
Description: partial 16S ribosomal RNA
Rfam family: Bacterial small subunit ribosomal RNA
Source: RNAcentral
AUUGAACGCUGGCGGCAUGCCUAACACAUGCAAGUCGAGCGAGCGACGGACGGGUGCGUACUGUCUGGGAAACUGCCUGAUGGAUAGGGAUAACUACUGGAAACGGUAGCUAAUACCGCAUACCAUCAGAUUUGCCCAGAUGGGAUUAGCUCGUAGGUGGGGUAACGGCUCACCUAGGCGACGAUCCCUAGCUGGUCUGAGAGGAUGACCAGCCACACUGGAACUGAGACACGGUCCAGACGCCUACGGGAGGCAGCAGUGGGGAAUAUUGCACAAUGGGCGAAAGCCUGAUGCAGCCAUGCCGCGUGUGUGAAGAAGGCUUUCGGGUUGUAAAGCACUGUCAGCGGGGAGGCGUUACCCGCAGAAGAAGCACCGGCUAACUACGUGCCAGCAGCCGCGGUAAUUC